Molecule: long non-coding RNA, 562 nt
Organism: Mauremys mutica (yellowpond turtle)
Lineage: Eukaryota; Metazoa; Chordata; Testudines; Geoemydidae
Exons: 3
Source: RefSeq, a predicted model, not a curated record
CUACCCUGCACGCUGCUGCGGAGCAUCUCCGGUGAGCCGCUGAGCAGCCACAGGCGGCCUCCCAUUGAAGCCAGCAGGAGCUGAAGGUUGCCUUCGUUCCCGGCUGACCCAUCAAGCCACCGUGCCGAGUGCACUGGAAUCACAAACCAGGGAGAAUUCUCCUAGCCUCUCCCAGCAAGUCAUGGAUCAGGGAAGGAUCUAGCCCCAGUGGCUGGAGGGAAUCCCUAAAGCAGUCACGCAGGGGGCAGGAUAGAGAAAAACGUCAGAGCACUGCCCAUGGGGAAGCUGACAGCUACUGCCAAGCUAGGCAGAGUCACUGCAGGAAUCUCUUAUGCUGUAAGUAAGAAACAAGGGAACAUCAUGCCAAGUUAGGAGAAAACCAAUUCAUCUUCCCUGACCUAUUUCUGGACAUGCUCUGAAGGGAAGAGAAGAAACUGUCUGUCAGGAUCAAAGGAAAUUAUGCAUGUUGAACUGACAACCGGUCUUUCUGUGAGUUCACACCAUCAAGUGGCAGAUUGGCACUGCUGUCUCUGUUAUAUCCCCGAUUUUUCCACUCGGCAGA